This 437-nucleotide long non-coding RNA is filed under the name Numida meleagris (helmeted guineafowl). RNAcentral's name for it is "lncRNA (ENSNMEG00000005405.1)". Lineage: Eukaryota; Metazoa; Chordata; Aves; Galliformes; Numididae. The record is from RNAcentral.
AAGUAACCCUCAAUUAAUUAAUCUACUAAGCCAUGAAUAUGACUCUCUGUCACUCUGACUGAGCUAUAUAUCUGACAGCGUGUACUGUUAAAAUCCAUGUUUCGUGGCAUUCCUGGUCACCUCAAAUGAGUUUUUCCCCCUGUUUGCAUAACAUUGUGCAAGUUUGGAAAGAACUUAGGGCUUUUCAGGACUAAAGGAUUCAAGCAGUCACAUCUUCAGCUUUUCUGUACUUUGAGCAUUAUUUGACUCAAACAAACAAGAAAAAGAAAAAGAACUAUUAUACGCUGCUCUGUAUGGGAAUGAUUUGACAUGCUCAGCAGUCUUGCUUCAGAUUCUUUCCUUAAAAAGCAAGAGAGCAAUUAAUGGAAGAUUCUGAAGAUUGAACGACUUCCAUCUUUGGCACAGAGAUGCUGCAUAAGGGGACUCUAGCACUAUGU